Molecule: ribosomal RNA, 301 nt
Filed under: uncultured bacterium
Lineage: Bacteria
Description: partial 16S ribosomal RNA
Rfam family: Bacterial small subunit ribosomal RNA
Source: RNAcentral
CAGUAGCCACGGGAAUACGGAGGGUGCAAGCGUUAUCCGGAUUCACUGGGUUUAAAGGGUGCGUAGGCGGAUCUGUAAGUCAGUGGUGAAAUCUCCAGGCUUAACCUGGAAACUGCCGUUGAUACUAUAGGUCUUGAAUUUUGUGGAGGUUAGCGGAAUAUGUCAUGUAGCGGUGAAAUGCAUAGAUAUGACAUAGAACACCAAUUGCGAAGGCAGCUGGCUACACAACUAUUGACGCUGAGGCACGAAAGCGUGGGGAUCAAACAGGAUUAGAUACCCCCGUAGUCCCUGUCUCUUAUAA